AUUGAACGCUGGCGGAAUGCUUUACACAUGCAAGUCGAACGGCAGCACGGGUGCUUGCACCUGGUGGCGAGUGGCGAACGAGUGAGUAACAUAUCGGAACGUGCCCAGUAAUGGGGGAUAACUAACCGAAAGGUUAGCUAAUACCGCAUACGCCCUGAGGGGGAAAGCGGGGGAUCGAAAGACUCCGCGUUAUUGGAGCGGCCGAUAUCUGAUUAGCUAGUUGGUAGGGUAAAGGCCUACCAAGGCGACGAUCAGUAGCUGGUCUGAGAGGAUGAUCAGCCACACUGGGACUGAGACACGGCCCAGACUCCUACGGGAGGCAGCAGUGGGGAAUUUUGGACAAUGGGCGAAAGCCUGAUCCAGCCAUUCCGCGUGAGUGAAGAAGGCCUUCGGGUUGUAAAGCUCUUUCGGCAGGAACGAAACGCUCUAGAUUAAUACUCUGGGGUAAUGACGGUACCUGAAGAAGAAGCACCGGCUAACUACGUGCCAGCCGCCGCAGUAA
This 502-nucleotide ribosomal RNA is filed under the name uncultured bacterium. RNAcentral describes it as "partial 16S ribosomal RNA". It matches the Rfam family "Bacterial small subunit ribosomal RNA", at positions 30 to 523 of the family's 1533-position model. The record is from RNAcentral.